Bombus huntii is the source of this 989-nucleotide long non-coding RNA. RefSeq lists it as uncharacterized. NCBI's taxonomy places the organism in Eukaryota, Metazoa, Arthropoda, Insecta, Hymenoptera, Apidae. The transcript has 2 exons. The record is from RefSeq and is a predicted model, not a curated record.
CAUUCUCGAACGUAAAUUAUAGGUUAAGGGGUUAAAGCAGCUUGUAUGGAAAAAUUAUGCAAAGAAUGCUCAAACUCUCAUAUGCACAACCGUUUUAAAUAUUUUCCUCUUAAAAUCAAAAGAAUCGUAGAAUGCAAUAGAUAAUAAUAAUAAUCAUAAUAAUAGGUAAUAAUAUGAAUCAUAAUAAUAAUUAUAGAUAAUAAUAUAAUAAUAAUAACAGAUAAUAAUAAUAAUCGUAAUCGCGUGCACAUUAGAAAAGAAUAGGAUUUUAACACGCGGUUUCGUUUGCUUCUCGUACUUUCUUUUAUAGCUUUUCAGCAUAGAACUAGAAUUACUGAUUAGAGUGGCGAAAACUAUACAUAUGUAUAUAUGUUUGGAUGUAGAAAAAAUGGCGAAAACAGUGGCCCGUUUUCAUUCGUUGCGCCGGUUUCAUUUUCCUUGCACCUUAUCGGAAUGCGAGUUGUCGAAAGUCUUCCUGAUUAUCAAAGUGCGUCAUCGCGAUAUUCAACCGCCAAACAAAAGGUUUUUGUUUUCGGAUCUGGGUUAUCACACAAAUGGACCGUGCGGCCCACCUUAUUCUGAACAGGUAGACACGCUAUUCGAACGAAACGUUUAUAAUGUGCAUUGGCGAUAUUAAUUCGAAACGAGUAUGUCGACGAUCACGCUGCUAAAGUUUUCAAAAAAUACACGGCUUUCGCAGACAGCAUUUUACACGAAGGCCUUUUAAUCUGUCUCUAAAAUAAAACGAAAUAUGGAUAUUUCAUGUAUUGUAAUAAAUUUCAUUUUACAAUUCGUUACGCGUUCAUUUAUUCGUACAAAGAUAUUUCUUUCAUUAUAUAUAGCCAGCGAGCAAUAUUAUUUCAAAAUUUCCAUCCUUUAUAUUAAUAAGUUUUUAAUGUGCUUGCUAUGUUUGCUGCCCAUAUUUCUGUGGAGCUGUUAAACCUGCUGUGCAAAUAACCAAAGAGUUGAAGACUAAAUGUCGACCUUUA